GAGGCCCCUGUAACGAUUCCGCUUUUGCAACAGGCCCCGGAUAACCAGAAAGGGUGGCAUUCACGCGUCCUCGACGCGCGAUCAUCAGGCCGGUUCUGCGGGGAGUGAGUCACGUGAGCCCCGUGGGGCCCACUUCCGGCCACUGAAAAGAACAUUGACGGCGCAUGACCGGAAGCUCUCAGGGGGUCGCGACUUGCUUCUGCGAGCCGCUGGGGAGCAAGGAACGGACGCGUCAACUGUGGGAUCGGCUGUGACAUUCCGGAGGCUUGACUUCAUGCCGAUCGUGGAUGAAGGAGGCAGAGUCCCCUUCUGGGAGCUGCUGACGGCCACCAGCUAGAAGGCAUAAGCCUCGGACUCGGCCGAUGCCAUCCUCCAACUCGAGACACGAUCGGGACCAAGUGGGGCAAAGACAAAGGAGCAGGUGGACUUCAUCGUGGUGAAGGCCGCUGUUCUCCCGAGUGCGGGGGGCAGUGGCCCGUCCGGCUGUCUGUCGGUGCCCUGGGUUUCAUCCUGACCGAUUCCCUGGCAUAUUGUUUUACAGGAGCAGGUUAGGACUCGAACUAGCGACCGCUUUCACUUAUGAACCAUUUAAUGAUCUGCUCACAAACCCUUUUCUUCCUGCCCCCGAGUUGGGGACCCUGGAUUUAGAAACUGUCGGACCCCUGGGGUGAGGGCUGCUUGCUUCCACCCGCAAACGCAACAGUGCUCCCCCUGCAUUGAAGCCCCGACUGCCUCCUGGGAUAUCAGUCACUGCAAAUCACUGGAAGAGGGAGCUAUGCCCGUGACCAUCUUGGAGGAGAGAACUGGGUGGGGCCCAGCGACCCUAGCCCUGGGACAGGAAGCAGAGACUGGAGACUUCCUGCUUUUGGUUCAUCCUGACGGAGUCUGCAGGGAGGACGAUGUUUCAAGAAGAGAGGUCACAAAGGACAUCUACGGGAUGCUUUCAACGUUACGGGUGGCGACAUCACGAUGUGCUACAUCAUGAAAGAAAGAUGAAAGCAUCUACGUAGCACAGGGCAUUGGGCUCGGUAUUCGAGUUCACAUGACAUUCCAGGCUGGCUCUGAACAGGACAGAACUGUUGUCCAGAAAAUGUUGGCCAAGUUGUGCUCGGCUGUGAGAAGUCGGUUCUCAUGUUCUCUGGCGUGUGAGAGAAUGCUCUGUCUUUCUCCAUAAACCCCAAGGGAAGGUGCCCUAUGGAAGCGGGAUCAUAUCAUGUUUUGCCUUUUCGGACCGGCUUCUUUCACUGAGCGUGAUGCUUUCAAGGUUCACCCGGGUCGGAGCGUGUAUGAGAAUAUCCUCCCUUUUAAAGGCUGAAUAGUGUUUAAUUGUAUGUCGCAGCCAUAUUUCAUUUAUCCGCUCACGUGUUGAUGGACUUUCGGGUUGUUUCCACCUUUUGGCUACUGUGCAUAAUGCUGGUAUAGACAUUCGUGUACAAGUUUUUGCGUGGGCAUGUUUUCUCUUGCAUAUGUCGCUGGGAGCCACGCUGCUCUGUAUCAUGGUAAUUCCACGUUUAACCACCUGAAAAACCCCCGGAUUUCGUUCCAAAGAAGCUUCUCUAGUUUACAUUCCUUCCAGCACUGUAUAAGGGCUCCCGCUUCUGGACAUCUUUACCAACAUUUAUGAUCGUUUCUCUCUCUCUCUCUCUCUUUUUUUUUUUAAUUAUAGCCAUCUUGUGGGUGUGAUCUCUGCGUGGUGAGUUUCAAUAUUCUCCAAUUCUGCACAGUUCGGGACGUGCUUUAUUGUCAAAGUAAGGGUCAGAUACAGACUGACCACAAAUGGUCCCCUUUCUUCACCAGUGAUCAAAUCAACAUAAAUGGCAUUUACGAACAUCGUUUCGGGACUUUAAGCCCUUUAUCCCCCCGUCCCUCGCCACCGCCCUCCAAAAAAAAGAUGGUGAAAUUAAUACAAUGUCUUAUCCAAGUAUUAACCUAAAAGGAGAAAAGAAUACAACAAUUUUCAUGCUUCUUUCUCUCUGAAGCAUGAACCUUCUGUUUAUUGACUACGGCAAAUAAAACAUGGUGCAUAUCGUCUCUGCGAACAGCUCAGUGCCUUCUGGUAGAUUUCACAUGGAGACUAAAGCCAAUUUUAUUCUCAACCAAAUUUAGAAAGUAAGUUUUGUACCUGGAAUUGGAUGCUCAAGGUGAUAUUAUUACUUGUCCUACCCUGUAAUAAAACUUCACACAGACCCCAUUUUCUUUGCUUUCCUCUCUUUCUCUCUCUCCUCUUUUUUGCAUUCUUCCUAUCUUGUUUGAGGUGGCCACGAUUUAGAGAUGAAGUAUAUACUUCUAAAAAAGGAUUUCUUUAGCUUUUCACCACGAAGCCUACCAAUUUCAACAGCUAAACUCGUACAAAUUUUUAACUCCCUUUCAGUUUCUACUCAAACGGCAUUUUGUUUUUGGGCAAAAAGCUCCAGAUCUCUCAAUCCAAAUGCAUUUAUUUGUUUGUUUAUGUAUUUACCUAUGUAUUUACCUAUUUAUUUAUUUUUGCUUCCUAUGUUGGAAGAGGUAUCAUUUAGAUUCUG
This is a long non-coding RNA of Acinonyx jubatus (cheetah), 2522 nucleotides long. RefSeq lists it as uncharacterized. The record is from RefSeq and is a predicted model, not a curated record. Lineage: Eukaryota; Metazoa; Chordata; Mammalia; Carnivora; Felidae. The transcript is spliced from 5 exons.